UACGUAGGUGGCGAGCGUUGUCCGGAUUUACUGGGCGUAAAGAGCGCGCAGGCGGCUGGUCAAGUCCGAUGUGAAAGCUCCCGGCUUAACUGGGAAAUUGCAUCGGAAACUGAUCGGCUGGAAGGUGGGAGAGGGUAGCGGAAUUCCCGGUGUAGUGGUGAAAUGCGUAGAUAUCCGGAGGAACACCAGUGGCGAAGGCGCUGUCCUGGGCCACCUCUGACGCUGAUACGCGAAGGCGUGGGGAGCGAACGGG
This 253-nucleotide ribosomal RNA is filed under the name uncultured bacterium. RNAcentral describes it as "partial 16S ribosomal RNA". It matches the Rfam family "Bacterial small subunit ribosomal RNA", at positions 524 to 776 of the family's 1533-position model. The record is from RNAcentral.